UUUCUCAAGAAGGUGGUAUUCAUGUGUACUAAACUAUGAUAUCACCUUUUUGAGAAG
Callithrix jacchus (white-tufted-ear marmoset) is the source of this 57-nucleotide microRNA precursor. Lineage: Eukaryota; Metazoa; Chordata; Mammalia; Primates; Cebidae. The record is from Ensembl.